UAACAGGCUGAUACCGCCCAAGAGUUCAUAUCGACGGCGGUGUUUGGCACCUCGAUGUCGGCUCAUCACAUCCUGGGGCUGAAGCCGGUCCCAAGGGUAUGGCUGUUCGCCAUUUAAAGUGGUACGCGAGCUGGGUUUAGAACGUCGUGAGACAGUUCGGUCCCUAUCUGCCGUGGACGUUUGAGAUUUGAGAGGGGCUGCUCCUAGUACGAGAGGACCGGAGUGGACGAACCUCUGGUGUUCCGGUUGUCACGCCAGUGGCAUUGCCGGGUAGCUAUGUUCGGAAUAGAUAACCGCUGAAAGCAUCUAAGCGGGAAACUAGCCUCAAGAUGAGAUCUCACUGGAACCUUGAGUUCCCUGAAGGGCCGUCGAAGACUACGACGUUGAUAGGUUGGGUGUGUAAGCGCUGUGAGGCGUUGAGCUAACCAAUACUAAUUGCCCGUGAGGCUUGACCAUAUAACACCCAAACAAUU
Molecule: ribosomal RNA, 473 nt
Filed under: Pseudomonas sp. SST3
Lineage: Bacteria; Pseudomonadati; Pseudomonadota; Gammaproteobacteria; Pseudomonadales; Pseudomonadaceae
Description: partial 23S ribosomal RNA
Rfam family: Bacterial large subunit ribosomal RNA
Source: RNAcentral